This 10628-nucleotide long non-coding RNA is filed under the name Lupinus angustifolius (narrow-leaved blue lupine). Its description in RNAcentral is "long non-coding RNA (LANG_LNC000114)". The record is from RNAcentral. Lineage: Eukaryota; Viridiplantae; Streptophyta; Magnoliopsida; Fabales; Fabaceae.
CAAAUUCAAGGGGUUAAAUACCCCACCAGGGUACCCAACCUCAUUAGGGGCUAAGCUAUAUUGCUUAAAGAUAGGGUCUUGGUUAACACUUCCAGGGUUUUUGAUAUCUUGCCAUCUUCUGAUCUCCACAUAGUUGAAUAAAAGGAACUCAAUCACCAAUAGUGUUGAGGAUGAUGCGAAGUAUUGUUCUUUUCCAGCAUCAAACCAUUCAGGGAUAUUGAAAAGACCAAGUUUGGUUAAGAUUUGAGGAAGCAACAUUCCUGCAACACCUAACAUAGCCCAACGUCCAUUCACAAGCUCACCUUGAACAAACCAAUUCAACCUUUGUGGCUCCUCAGCCAAACCCAAAGGAUCAAAUCCAUUGUCACCGGGAAGACUAAUAUAUAUAUCACACAAAAACAAAUAUCACCAAGUAAAUAAUCAUAACCAAAUGGAUAUUAAAUUUCACAUGAUUUACGAUAAAACAUUAUAACAUCGACUGUUGUUUGAUGCAUGUAGCCGACUUUAUCUAAUGUAAGUGUUACAUACCUGCCAGUGAGGUAAUCUGGGGAGUCCAAACCUGGCAACCACUCAGCUUCCCUGGUUUGAACCUUGGAGGAGGAGGUGUAUGAACGAGUAGUCUUCUUUUGUGCAAAACUAACAGACACAUCUCUGUUAAGUUUAGUAGAAGAGGCAUUGAGGAACAUUGGCUUAGAAACACAUGGGCUCAAAAUGGAGGCAGAAGCGUGUGUAGUGAAGGUGGCCAUUUUUGGUAGUAAUCACAAGAAGUAGUGAUUGUGACAAAUGAAUAUGCAAAAUAGCUGGUUAUAUGAAUAUGUGCAUGUGGCUGGUUUCUUAAGUACUUUUCUUUGGGAGUUCCUUGUGUCUUGUUGACCGUUGAUUCGCGUAGUGAUAUCUGGGAUCGGACGGUCUGCAUGCAUUUUAAUGCUUGUUAUCCAUAAAAUCCAUUUCUUCUUUGUUUGAUGGCUUGGGAAAGAUUCUGUGGGGUCACAAUAUGCCAUAUAUCUUCUAAAGGAUAGAAUAAAUCUACACAAAGUAGAAUUUCACUCAAUCAAUGUGAGACACCUGGUUGAAUGGCUUAUUAUGUUUUUUUUUAGAAUAAUAUAUACGCAUUCUAAGAUGAGGUAAGAAUUUCUAUAUAGUCGUUAUAUCAUUUAUCAUUUAUUUAGAUUAUUACUUUUGUUAAAUUUAAUAAGAAUUAAAUAUAAAUAGUAAAUAAUAUAGUAUUAACAUAUAUAACUUAUAUGCUGUGAGUAUAUAUAUAUUUUCUCAUUUUAUUUAUACUAUUAUUUGGAUACUCAAUGGUUGAUAGGAUGGAAAGAAAUAGGAUAGAAGGGAAAGAAAUAGAACAAAAUUAUUAUUUAUAGUAGUGUUCAUAUAUUUUAUGUUACAAUAAAGUCAAAUGAUAUGAAGAACAAAUUAGUAAGGGGCGGAGAUUGAUUGGUUGAUGUAGAGAAACACUUAGUUACUGAAAAUCUAUUAAAUAUAUAAUAAAAAAUUCUUUUAUGUUGUAUGUUACAUUCUUUUCAUUUUUUUUUCUCUCUUAAAAAGUUCUAUAAUACUAUUAUGUACAUUCUAACACUACAUUCUCAAUUUUUAUACUUUUAUAUUUUAAUAAUUUAAUACUAAUUAGUGAUAAGUGAUUGUCCUCUAUGUUUUGUUAUGUUAAAAAAUAAUAAUCAUUAAAUAUUCAACGAUAUUGAAAUCUUUUUUCACAUUUGGAUUGUUUCUCUUUCCUGUUUCAUUUCAUUUCAUUUCAAGUACUACAUCUUCGUUUUUCUCCUACUUCUUCAUCUCUCCCUUACCUUGUCAUCUCUCACAUAACGGUAUAACUGUGUAAAUUCAUAUAAAUCUUUGUGGGUGAUCCAGCAAGCAUAUAAUUCUUAUGAGUACACUUUCGAUAACAAAACCUUAAUAUAAUUCUUUCACAUAGUUGUUUAAUUUAAAUUAAAAAACUAUUAACUAUAUAAUAAAAAACUUCUUUGGAUGUCACAUUCUCCUCACUUUUCUCUUCCAGAAGGUUUUGUGUUAUUACAAUUUACUUUCUCAUACUACCUCCUCACUUUUUAUACAUUUUAUAUUUUAAUAAUUUAAUAAUAAUUAAUGAUUGACCCAACAUUUUGUUAUGUUAAAAAGAAUCAUCAUUGGACAUUAUAGAGGAUUGAAAUCAUUUUUCACAUCUAGACUAUUUCUCUUUCUACUACUACUACUUUUCCUCUACCUCUUCACAUCUCAUAAAAGGGUGUAAAUGUGUAAUUUCAUAUAAAUCUUGGUAGAUGAACAGUUGGAUGAACAAGCAUAUAAAUAUUAUGAUUAUACUUUUGGUAACGAAACCUUAAUAUAAUCAUUUCAUCUUCCCUUGUGUAAUUGUUUAAUUUAAAUUUAAAAACUAUACACUUUCAUCACAUUCAAUAUUUGCAUUAAUCUAUAUAUAUUAUUUAACAUUUACUAUUACUCAAAGAAUUAUUAUAUUUUUUACCCCAUCAAACUUUUGUGAUACUUUUACUACUGAAUUUUAGUAUCACGAUUCAGAUUCUUUGAAUUUUAAUUUUUAUCUAUUAUAAUUAAAAUAUCAAAAUUCGAAAUUGAAGUUUUUUAUAACUUUUAAAUAUUUUUCAAUAACAAAAAACUAAUAUAAAAGUUUGAUUUCUCUAUUUUCAUUAAAAAACUAAUUCGAAAUUGCAAAAGUCAUUUCAUUUUCUACAACUUUUAAAAUAUCUAUUUAAAAAAAUCACAUAGUAUCUGGUUUCCUAUUUUCAUUAGAAAAUUCAAAUUUAAAAUUGUCAUUUAUUUUCCUUAUGUGUUUGAAUACACAAAUACACAGGUAAUACAUGCAUUAUUAACAAUGCGAAUAUACAAGUAACAUAUGUAUCUUAAUUAUGCAAAUGUAUGAGUAAUAUAUUUUCUUAGCAUUGUUAAUAAACAACAAACAUGUUUAGUUUUAAUCAUGCAUAUUCAUGGGUCACGUGAAUGUUAUUAACAGUAUGAAUGUACAUUUCCAAAAGUUUCUUUCUUGAUUUCUGUAUCUUUUUAUUUUUGAAUAUUGUAAUGUUACUAUAAAAGGUGAGAGCAUCGUCUCCUAGGUCGAGUUGCCACUAUAUAUUUUAAUUUGGUUUUCAAGGUUCCGUUUUAUAUGGUGUUUGUGAUCAUUUAAGUGUGCUGUUGCAUUCUUCAUACGAUACUUGUCUAUAUUUUUUUUUAUAUUUCCUUUCAUAAAUAUGAAUGCAGGACUAAAUAUGAAAGUAAUUUUAUGUACUUUGGUACUCCAAUGUAGUUGUAUUUAACAAAUUUUUUUGAAGUGAAAUAUAAAAUUCUUAAGCAAUGGACCUGUAUCUAAAUAAUAUAAUCAAAACAUCUUAUUUCCUCAAAUAGAGGUUGGCUAUAUGCAACCAUGCUCAAAUAUCUAAAAACUUAGUUCAUUAGGAUCACAAGAAAACAACAGAAGCUUUCAUGGUAUUUGAUUACAAGAUUUAGUAAGCGCUCAGUUUUUGGACAAUGCUGUUGUGCCAUGGAUCUGAGAUAUGCUGCAAGAGGUUUUCAAAUGGUCCUUUCCCUGUUACGUUGUACUGAGUCACUAAUCCCAAGAAUGCCAACAUUGCCACUCUCCCUAUAUACAUAGACCAAAAUAAACAAACAAGGUUACUUCAUUAUCAAAAAUAACAACUUAGAUGUAGCAGUGAGAAUGAUUAAGAAGCAUGCAUUUACCAUUGGCAAUUUCCUUCUCUUUAAGCUCCAGUGUUGGCUCCAAAUUCAAAGGGUUAAAGACCCCACCAGGGUAUCCAACCUCAUUAGGGGCUAAACUGUAUUGCUUAAAGAUAGGGUCUUGGUUAACACUUCCAGGGUUCUUGAUAUCCUGCAAUCUUCUGAUCUCCACAUAGUUGAAUAAAAGGAACUCAAUCACCAAUAGUGUUGAGGAUGAUGCAAAGUAUUGUUCUUUUCCAGCAUCAAACCAUUCAGGGAUAUUGAAAAGACCAAGUUUUGUUAAGAUUUGAGGAAGCAACAUUCCUGCAACACCUAACAUGGCCCAACGUCCAUUCACAAGUUCACCUUGAACAAACCAUCUCAAGCUCUCUGGGUCCUCAGCCAAACCCAGAGGAUCAAAUCCAUUGUCACCAGCAAGACUAAUGUAUUUUUAGCACAAAAACAAAUAUUAGACAAAAUAAUGAAAAUGAAUGGUAGAUGAUGCGGUGUCUGUCUGUAUAUAAAUCUGACAUUAUAUAGAUUUUUCACUUUUUGUAUGCGAGAAAAAUAUGUACGCACUGACAGUUAUUGAGUUUUAUUCACUGUCACUCAUCAUCUGCAAUUGAUAUUUAAUAAUUUUUGACUUUUCAGAAAAAAUAAUCAAAAUGAAUGGUGGAUGAUGUGGUGUCUAUGUAUAAAUUUUUACACUGACAUUGUAUAGAUUUUCGACUAUUUGAAUAGAGAAAAAUAUAUAUACACUAAAAAUGUAAGAGAUUUUUACACUGUCAUUGCAUUAUUCACCAUUCAUUUCUAAUCAUCGUUGACUUUAAAUAAAAAUAAUACAAAUGAAUGAUGGAUGAUGUACUAACUGUGUAUAAAUCUUUACAAUGUCAAGUAACAUAUUUUAUACUCCUUGGUAUAUACACAUAAAUGAUUAAUUUAUGAUAAAAUCGUUUCUUUGGUGCAUGUAUCUAACUUUAUCUAACCAUUAAAAGACUUGGUUGAUUUUUAUGAUUAUUACAAAGUAAAUAAUCAUAACCAAGUGGAUUUUAAAUUUCAAUUUAUAUAAUUUACGAUAAAACAUUAUAACAUCGAUUGUUGUUCGAUACAUGUAGCCGACUUUAUUAGGAAAAUGUAAGUGUGUUACAUACCUGCCAGUGAGGUAAUCUGGGGAGUCCAACCCUGGCAACCACUCUGCUUUCCUGGCUUGAACCUUGAAGGAGGAGGUAUAUGAAUGAGACCUCAUUUGUGUAAAACUAACAGAAGAGCCAUUGAGGAACCUUGACUUAGAAGCACAUGGCCUGAAAAUGGAGGCAGAAGCAUGAGUAAUGGCGGUGACCAUGUUUUGUAGCAAUCAAGAACUAGUGAUUCUGAUAAAUGAAGAUGAAAAAUAGCUAGUUAUAUGCAUGUGGCUAGUUUCUAAGUAUUUUUCCUUGGGAGUUCAUUGUGUGUUGUUGACCGUUGAUUCACUUAGAUCGGACGGUCUGCAUGCAUUUUGGGUUAUCCAUUUUAGUGCUUGUUAUCCAUAAAAUCCAUUUUUCAGAUGGCUUGGGAAAGAUUAUGUGGGGUCACAAUGUGCCAUGUAUCUUCUAAAGGAUAAAAUAAAUCUACUAAAGUAGAAUUUCACUCAAUCAAUGCUAGACACAUGGUAGCAUUUCAUAUAUUUUAUUUAUACUAUUCUUUGGAUACUGAAUGUUUAGUAGGGAAUGAAAUGGGAUAAAAGAGAAUGCAAUAGAACAAAGUUAUUGUUAUACUAUUGUUUAUAUGUUUUAUGUUACAAUAAAGUGAAAUAUAGGGGUGUGAAAAUUACCCACAAUCUAUAAAUGAAUAACUCCAAAUUUAUAAAAAAUCAAAUUCAUUUAUUAGAGUUAAUUGAUUUAAAUGAAUAACUUUAGUAAUAAAUAAAUUUGAAUUCAUCUAUUAUAUGUAAUGAAUAAUCAUGAAUAUAUGCAUUUGGAUGGUUAUUCAAUAAUACAAAAAGCAAAUAUUUAAAAACUAUGUUUUUUGCCUUUCAAUCUCUUUCACUAUAUCAACUAUCACUUUCCUAAAAAAAAAUCUUAAAUACGUAAUAUAUAUAAAUAUAUGUUGAAAACUUAGAUAUACAACCUUAAACAUCACAUACCUAUACAAUAUAGUGAAAAACUAUUUGUUUUAAAAAGUUAAAAACACUUUUAAAAAAAUAGUUUUUAAAAGUGUCUUUCUUAAAAAUAUGAUUUAAAAAAUGUUUUCUUUUCAAGUGCGUUUUUAGUUUUAAUUAAAAAAAUCAAAUAUUCAUCCAUUCAAAUCCUUGGAAAUUGAGUCAUGAAUUGAUUGGAAUUCAUUCAUUAAGUUUGGAUAUAAAUAAAUUGAAUAAUAUAUAAUGUGAUUUAAAUGGAUUCGUAUAGAUUUGUAUCCAUUCAUCCAUAUCCAUCCAUUUGAUACUUGUAGUCAAAUGAUAUAAAUAACAAAUUAGUAAGGGGAGGAGAAUGACUGGUUGAGGUAGAGAAAAAUUGAGCUAGUUGGAAAUAUAAUUUUAUUCAUCCAUGUCUUGAACUCUUACUAUCAUCCUUUAAGGAAAUCAGCUCUUUCAAGUUGAACACAAUGGCAAGUGGAAGCAAAAAUGCUUUUGAUUUUAUUUUUUAUCCUAUCUUUUUCUUAGCUUUGCUAGAAAAUAACAUGAUUUGUAACAAUAAGUUCUUGUUUUUUGUUUUGUUUUUAAGCAUGAAAAUGUCAUUUUAUUGUAUAAAUAAAAAGAUAAAAGUGUUAUAAUAUCUUAUUUUUACUAUUGUGUUUGAUAGCACUUAUGUUCACAACACAAUUCAAAUGACCAGGGCAAUCUUAAAAUAACCCCUCUCAAUUGCUUUUACUAUCUCACUUCUAUAAUAUCUUACUAUGCCAACUUUGUAUUGAGUUAGUUGUUGGGAGACAAGUUUAGAGAGAUCAAAAUGUUAAAGUGGAGGGUUGCACCACCCACCUUCAUUAUUUUAGGCACCACCUUUGGCCAUUCACACACACUUGAUUUCUAAAAUUUUAUGCAUGUGUGGGUCUCUAAGGGGGGAUGAAGAAUGGAUAUUGAGAAAAUAAAUGUUCAUUUUAAUUAUAAUACAUAAUUUGUAACUAGUAUAAUUAAAAGGAAAACAGGCAUUAUAUCAAAAAAUUCAAAUCAUUAAAUAUUUUACAUGAGUUGUUUUUCCAAUUCUUACUUCUAUGAGAAAUUGAGAAUAUGCUCAGACAUAGGAAUAAUAAUAAAAUAAAACUCAAUUCAUUAUUUAGCUCAACAAAUUUGGUUUAUGAAUUAAAUGAGUUGAAUUUGAGUUUAUUAAACAAACCAAUUUACUUGAGUUUCAUAUAGUUUAAAGGUUGUAUUUAUAUAUAUAAUAUUGUUCAUUAUUUUUUAAAUGAAUUAAUUAUUUGAUUUGUAGAAAUAAAUCAAUUCGAACUGAGCCGAACAUAUCAUUAAUUUUAAUGGAGUCAAAAUUGAGCUAAAAGAAUAACUUGUUUCAAAUUCGAGUCAAGUUUCGAGCUGAACAAAUCUUUAUCGAGUUGAACGAAGCUGAACUCUAAUUUGACACAGUUUAGUUCGUUUCCAACCAUACUCAAACCCAAAAGGAUAUAGUUGGAUUUUGAGGAAAAAAGAAAAAAAUAAUUUCAAAACCAUAAAAUAUACAUGUCUUGGAAACCUUUUAUUUCCUUUUGUUCUCCAAAACUCAGUAAAUAGGACUAAGGGUAAGGGUAUGCUUGUUGAAAAAGUGGAAUGAAAUUUUCCAACAUAUGGCUUGACAUGUAUAAAAAGAGAAUAAUUUGUACUUUGAACAUUUAUGUUUUAAUUUGAAAGAUGGAUCCAAGGUAGGGUUCCGUAUGGUGAAGGAGUGGAGUUAGGGAUGGCAACGGGUACGGGCGGGCACGAGUAGUAGCUACCCGCUACCGUUUCAAAAUAGAAGAGUAAUACCCAUACCCGCCCGUACCCGUACGGGUACCCGUGAGCGGGUAUUUGCGGGUAUUUCUAGGUACUCGCGGGUUUCUGUAUUAUAAAUAAUUUUUUAAAUUUUUACUUAAAUUGUGUUUUAAAUAAGAUGAAACUUAAUUAUUUUUGUACAUUUUGAUUGAAUAUUUGACAAAAAUGCUAAAUUUAUUGGUGGUUUCCAUUUGUGUGAUUUUUUGAUCUCAUUUUUUAACAAAAAAUAUAUUUUUUCUUUGUAAAACAUGUGUGUUUUUACACAUGUAAUAAUAUUUGUAGGGUGUUUUACCACCAAACUCAGUAAAAUAUGUAAACAAAGUAAAAGGAAAAAAUAUACAUAGUGUAAUAAAUGUUAGAAUAAUAUAUUUUUUAUUUUAAUUAAAUAUAAUAUAUUAAUAAUAUAAAUAACGGGUACCGCAGGUACGGGUACCAUAAUACCCGUACCUGCCUGUAUAUACUAUGAAUAUUUUUAAAAACUCACUUGCAGGUACCCGUUUCUAACCCGUAUUGCUAUCCUUAAGUGGAGUUGAGAAGUGUGAGAGUGGUGGUUGAUAUAUUUAUUUGUAAUUAGUUAGUGGAUAUGGUUUGAGAUUUGACUGGGUUUGUGGGCGUUGGAUGGAAUGAAUAAACGGUGGAGAUUUGAUAUGGAUCAUGGGUGUUGGAUUUCUAGGAUCGGUCCGCAUUUGCUUUAACACAACUUUGUGUCACCUUACCUCCUAGUACGUCUGAUUGACCAGAAAAAUAUUUAAUAAUUAUCAUUUUAACUUAAAUAAUUUUUUUCAAUCAAUCAUAGUUGAUAAUACAUAGAGUGAUACAAAAAGUGAUAUCAUAAAUAUAAUCCCGAAUAUGAGUAGUGAGUUUGAUAUUUGGAUAGAUCUCAUUUUCCACGUUCUUCAACUGCAUUCUUAAUCAUCUCUCCAUGGACCACAAUUGAUGACACCUCGUUUGAGACAAUCACUUUAACCAAUGGGCAAUUGAUUGGUUUGACGGGUUGGACUAGGAUAGCUCAAUUCAUUGGUGUGACUUGUACGUUCAAUUUAGUUUAUGAGAAUGGAGUAUCUCCUUGCUAGGGGAAAUAAUUUCCUCUCUUUACACCAGUUAGGUAAUGACACAUGGUUAUUUUUUACCUAUUUUAAAAAUAAAUAAGAAAACAAAAAGUAAAAUAAUACAAAUGUUUAUUAAUGAAUGAAUACGAGGAGAUAAUUUCUCUCCUCAUAUCAGGACCUACAUUAUUCUCUUCCAAAUAUUAGUUACUUAAUUUAAAUUUAAAAAUGUGAAGUCCUACAUUAUUAGAUAUGCAAGAAUGAGUGACUAAAUUAAAAAGACUAAAACUAAUGUUUUAGUAUUUUAGCUCAAGACAUGGUGUGACUUUCUUUUCUUCUCACAAUCCGGUAAUAAUAGAAUUCUCCAUUAAUUAGAGGCCGUACUUAAAAUAUGAAGAGGUUUUUAAGACAUGUAGUAAGAUGUUGGCUUAGGCUUGAUGCAAAAUUCCAAAUCCUAUUAUAUGUAUUUAGUUGAAAGCCAUUCUUAGAAAACAUGUUAUUAAUCACUCACGUGGGUUGUUUUUAGCCAAUGGAGAUCUGCUAUCUUAAUUUUUAUAUUAAAAAGUAAGAAAAUAAAUUUUUUAAAUUACUUGAUAAAAUGUAAUUGUGUUGAAACAUGCAAAUGAAUAUUUGAAGAUACAUACACAUAUCUGGUAGACUUGUGUAAUUAAUUUAGUGACCCAAGUUUUAAAUUUCAAUUUUGGAGAGAAUGAAAGUAAUUUGUAUUUAAAAAAUCUUUAAUCAGGUGAAAUAUAUAAUUCUUAAGCAAUAGGCUGAAUGUAAAUAACAAAAUUAAAAGAUCUUACUGUAAAAGAGGUUGGGUAUAUGCAACCAUACUCAAAUAUCUAAAAACUUUGUCCAUUAGAAUCAGAAGAAAAAAACAACAGAAGCUUUCAUGAUAUUUGAUUACAAGAUUUAGUGACCGCUAAGGUUUUGGAAAAUGUUGUUGUGUAAUGGAUCUGCAAUAAAGUCCGAGACAUUUUCAAAUGGUCCCUUCCCUGUAACAUUGUGCUGAGUCACAUUUCCCAAGAAUGCCAACAUUGCCAAUCUCCCUAUAUACAUAAACAAACAAUGUUACUUCAUUAUCAAAAACAAUAGCUUAUAUGUAACAAUGAGAAUGAUUAAGAAGCAUGCAUUUACCAUUAGCAAUUUCCUUCUCUUUAAUCUCAUAUGUUGGUUCCAAAUUCAAGGGGUUAAAUACCCCACCAGGGUAUCCAACCUCAUUAGGGGGUAAGCUAUAUUGCUUAAAGAUUGGGUCUUGGUUAACACUUCCAGGGUUUUUGAUAUCUUGCCAUCUUCUGAUCUCCACAUAGUUGAACAAAAGAAACUCAACGGCCAAGAGUGUUGCAGAUGAUGCAAAGUAUUGUUCUUUUCCAGCAUCAAACCAUUCAGGGAUAUUGAAAAGACCAAGUUUGGUUAAGAUUUGAGGAAGCAACAUUCCUGCAACACCUAACAUAGCCCAACGUCCAUUCACAAGCUCACCUUGAACAAACCAAUUCAACCUUUGUGGCUCCUCAGCCAAACCCAAAGGAUCAAAUCCAUUGUCACCGGGAAGACUAAUAUAUAUAUAUAUAUUACACAAAAACAAAUAUCACCAAGUUAAUAAUCAUAACCAAAUGGAUUUUAAAUUUCACAUGAUUUACGAUAAAACAUUAUAACAUCGACUGUUGUUCGAUACAUGUAGCCGACUUCUUUAUCUAAUGUAUAUAUGUAUGUUAUAUAUAUACCUGCCAGUGAGGUAUUCUGGGGAGUCCAACCCUGGUAACCACUCAGCUUCCCUGGUUUGAACCUUUGAGGAGGAGGCAUAUGAACGAGUAGUUUUCUUUUGUGUAAAACUAACAGACACAUUCCUGUUAAGUUUAGUAGAAGAGGCAUUGAGGAACAUUGGCUUAGAAACACAUGGGCUCAAAAUGGAGGCAAAAGCUUGUGUAGUGAAGGUUGCCAUCUUUGGUAGUAAUCACAAGAAG